CAAAGACAUCGACAUGAUUUAUUUUCUGAAGCAACGCAACCACGACGCGCGUGAUCUCCUUGGUGGUGGUCGCUGCUGUUGCCGUCUGUGCUGCGGCAGCUUCACUGGACCUCAAGGGGAGCUGCACCGUCAGUUCUCUAGGGAACAAUGUCCUAUAAAAGGAUAAGGCUCUUUCCGGCGACAACAAAAGAAUAACAUCUUUGGAAGAAGCAGCAAGAGAGUUAUCCAUAAGGAAGGGAGUAAAAUGAUUUGGGAUUGAGAAGUGAGACACGAAUCCGACCUUGACUCUGCGUUGCUGUUG
Penaeus indicus is the source of this 301-nucleotide long non-coding RNA. RefSeq lists it as uncharacterized. The transcript has 4 exons. Lineage: Eukaryota; Metazoa; Arthropoda; Malacostraca; Decapoda; Penaeidae. The record is from RefSeq and is a predicted model, not a curated record.